This is a long non-coding RNA of Homo sapiens (human), 1329 nucleotides long. Ensembl annotates it as long intergenic non-protein coding RNA 1405. The record is from Ensembl. NCBI's taxonomy places the organism in Eukaryota, Metazoa, Chordata, Mammalia, Primates, Hominidae.
ACUUCUCUCUCUGUCUCUCCUGCCACCAUGUGAAGAAGGUGCUUGUUUCCCCUUUGCCUUCCGCCAUGAGUGUAAGUUUCCUGAGGUCUCCCAGUCAUACUGCUGGUUAAGCCUGCAGAACGGCUGGUCUUGAACUCCCAGCCUCAAGCCAUCCUCCCGCCUUGGCCUUUCAAAGUGCUGGAUUACAAGCGUGAGCCACCGUGCACAGCCAAGACACAAUUUUAAAUCGAGCGGUCAGGAAGCCUCCUGGAGAAAAUGACGUUUGAACAAAGACAUGAAGAAAGUGGAGAAUAUUUGGAGAAAAGCAUUUCAGGCAGAGGAAAGUGCCAGGGCAGAGGCCCCGAGGUGAGACUGUGCUAGCAUGUUAUUUAGUUUUUAGUUUUAAAAAGUGCAAAAUAAUAUCCAUUUACUGUGGGAAAAUUAGACAUUAAAAAAAUCACUUCCUGUCCCUCUACCCAGAAAUAACUGGUAACAUGGUGGUGUAUAUUUUUGUGUUCUAUUUUUAAGCAUACACACAUACAUACGUGUGUGUGUAUAUUAUAUGUAUUUUUUUUACAAAAAUUGGGGUCAUACCAUCAUACGGUUUCAUAACCACUUAUUUGCCUAAUAAUAUAACAAGGCAAUCAUUCCAUGUCAAUAAAUAUUGAUCCACAUCAUUACUGAAACGGUUGUAGAAUGUUCCAUCUCACAGAUGUUCGGGAUUUAUUCAACCAUUCCCCCACUAAUGGGCAUUUAGGUGAUCUUCCCAAUUAUAAAUAGCGAUGCAGCCACCAUUCUUGUAAAAUUUCUACACUGUCUGAGUAUCCAAUUAUUUCCUUCGGAUGUGCUUCUAGAGUGGGAAUGUUGGAGCAAAGGUUGUGCACUUUGCUCAACAGUCUGUGAGGCCUGCGUGUUUCUCAAGAGGGUUUGGGAGGGUUUCAGGGGGACCCUAUAGCAGCCUGAGAAUGUUUCAUUUGGCAGGAAAUCACCUUUUCUGAAGAGAAAUGAGUACCCUACCACAUUGCCAGGGCUUGCCUCUGUAGGGCUGGUCGUUUGGGUAAUUUUAAUUUUCUUCUUUAUUCAUUUCUAUAUUGUAUUUUCGGUAUUGGACAUGCAUUGCUUUUUGUAUUAAUUUUUCUAAUGAAAGCAAUUUUUCUUGUUAUAAAAACCAAACACAAGAGAAGUACGUACAGUAGAAAGAAAAGGCCCACAUCUCCCCAGAAGUUGCCCGGGUUCAUUUUGUGUGUUCACCUGCUAGACAUGGUUCAGCUCCUGCAUAAGUUUUGUUAUGGGAAUUUUCCCUCAGUAGGAAGAAAAUACUGUCAUAAAAAUAAAAAAAUUUAAAUAAAA